GACGAACGCUGGCGGCGUGCUUAACACAUGCAAGUCGAGCGAUGAAGCUCCUUCGGGAGUGGAUUAGCGGCGGACGGGUGAGUAACACGUGGGUAACCUGCCUCAUAGAGGGGAAUAGCCUUUCGAAAGGAAGAUUAAUACCGCAUAAGAUUGUAGUACCGCAUGGUACAGCAAUUAAAGGAGUAAUCCGCUAUGAGAUGGACCCGCGUCGCAUUAGCUAGUUGGUGAGGUAACUGCUCACCAAGGCGACGAUGCGUAGCCGACCUGAGAGGGUGAUCGGCCACAUUGGGACUGAGACACGGCCCAGACUCCUACGGGAGGCAGCAGUGGGGAAUAUUGCACAAUGGGGGAAACCCUGAUGCAGCAACGCCGCGUGAGUGAUGACGGUCUUCGGAUUGUAAAGCUCUGUCUUUAGGGACGAUAAUGACGGUACCUAAGGAGGAAGCCACGGCUAACUACGUGCCAGCAGCCGCGGUAAUACGUAGGUGGCAAGCGUUGUCCGGAUUU
RNAcentral lists this ribosomal RNA (507 nucleotides) under uncultured bacterium. RNAcentral's name for it is "bacterial SSU rRNA". It matches the Rfam family "Bacterial small subunit ribosomal RNA", at positions 28 to 552 of the family's 1533-position model. The record is from RNAcentral.